RNAcentral lists this ribosomal RNA (434 nucleotides) under uncultured bacterium. RNAcentral's name for it is "partial 16S ribosomal RNA". It matches the Rfam family "Bacterial small subunit ribosomal RNA", at positions 29 to 507 of the family's 1533-position model. The record is from RNAcentral.
AGCGAACGCUGGCGGCAGGCCUAACACAUGCAAGUCGAACGAACCUUUCGGGGUUAGUGGCGGACGGGUGAGUAACACGUGGGAACGUGCCUUUAGGUUCGGUAUAACUCAGGGAAACUUGUGCUAAUACCGCAUGUGCCCUUCGGGGGAAAGAUUUAUCGCCUUUAGAGCGGCCCGCGUCUGAUUAGCUAGUUGGUUGAGGUAAUGGCUCACCAAGGCGACGAUCAGUAGCUGGUCUGAGAGGAUGAUCAGCCACAUUGGGACUGAGACACGGCCCAAACUCCGACGGGAGGCAGCAGUGGGGAAUCUUGCGCAAUGGGCGAAAGCGUGACGCAGCCAUGCCGCGUGAAUGAUGAAGGUCUUAGGAUUGUAAAAUUCUUUCACCGGGGACGAGAAUGACGGUACCCGGAGAAGAAGCCCCGGCUAACUUCGUG